GAUGAAGAACGUAGCGAAAUGCGAUACUUGGUGUGAAUUGCAGAAUCCCGUAAACCAUCGAGUCUUUGAACGCAAGUUGCGCCCGAAGCCAUCAGGUUGAGGGCACGUCUGCCUGGGCGUCACAUAUCGUUGCCCAAUGCCUAUUGCAGUGCAAUAGGAAUUUCUAGGGCGAAUGAUGGCUUCCCGUGAGCGUUGUUGCCUCGCGGUUGGUUGAAAAUCGAGUCCUUGGUAGGGUGUGCCAUGGUAGAUGGUGGUCGAGUUAGAACGAUACCGAUCAUGUGCAUGCUCCCCAAAAUAUGGCCUCUAUGACCCACACGCGUCUUUUGACGCUCAUGACGAGACCUCAGGUCAGGCGGGGCUACCCGCUGAAUUUAAGCAUAUCAAUAAGCGGAGGA
RNAcentral lists this unclassified non-coding RNA (395 nucleotides) under soil metagenome. RNAcentral's name for it is "partial contains 5.8S ribosomal RNA, internal transcribed spacer 2, and large subunit ribosomal RNA". The stretch from base 1 to 122 matches the Rfam family "5.8S ribosomal RNA", at positions 35 to 154 of the family's 154-position model. The record is from RNAcentral.